GACGGAGGGUGCAAGCGUUGUUCGGAAUUACUGGGCGUAAAGCGCGGGCAGGUGGCCUUUUAAGUCCUUUGUGAAAUUCCGGAGCUCAACUCCGGAUGUGCAUAGGAUACUGGAAGGCUAGAGACUGGUAGAGGCGAGCGGAAUUCCUGGUGUAGCGGUGAAAUGCGUAGAUAUCGAGAGGAACACAUGCGGCGAAGGCGGGUUGUUGGGCUGACACUGACGCUGAUGCGCGAAAGCUAGGGGAGCGAACGGG
This 253-nucleotide ribosomal RNA is filed under the name uncultured bacterium. RNAcentral's name for it is "partial 16S ribosomal RNA". It matches the Rfam family "Bacterial small subunit ribosomal RNA", at positions 524 to 776 of the family's 1533-position model. The record is from RNAcentral.